RNAcentral lists this ribosomal RNA (101 nucleotides) under Propithecus coquereli (Coquerel's sifaka). Lineage: Eukaryota; Metazoa; Chordata; Mammalia; Primates; Indriidae. The record is from RNAcentral.
CAUACCACCCUGAACGCGCCCGAUCUCGUCUGACCUCGGAAGGUAAGCAGGGCCAGGCCUGGUUAGGAUCUUGGAUGGGAGACCGCCUGGGAUGCUGGGCC